RNAcentral lists this ribosomal RNA (1264 nucleotides) under metagenome. RNAcentral's name for it is "SSU rRNA". It matches the Rfam family "Eukaryotic small subunit ribosomal RNA", at positions 526 to 1783 of the family's 1831-position model. The record is from RNAcentral.
UAAACGGACCAUCGAGUAUCCAUUGGAGGGCAAGUCUGGUGCCAGCAGCUGCGGUAAUACCAGCUCCAAUAGCGUAUAUUAAAGUUGUUGCAGUUAAAAAGCUCGUAGUUGGACUUGUGUGCGCUGUCCGCGGGUGGCCUGCGCCCAAAAGGGCGUUUCGGUUCGGCCCCGGUGGCGCCUUGAAAUCUGCAGCUGGGGGGACGUUGGCCUUAACUGGUCGGCGACCGCACGCCGGCUGCUCGGUUACUGUGAGAAAAUUAGAGUGUUCAAGGCAGGCAUUGGGUGCAAUUGAAUACAUUAGCAUGGAAUAAUAAAAUAUGGCUCCUGCCGUAUUUUGUUGGUUUUGACUGGUGGGAGUAAUGAUUGAUAGGGACGGUUGGGGGUGCUAGUAUUGAGCGGCCAGAGGUGAAAUUCAUGGAUUCGCUCAAGACUAACUUAUGCGAAAGCAUUCACCAAGGACGUCCUCUUUAAUCAAGAACGAAAGUUGGGGGAUCGAAGACGAUCAGAUACCGUCGUAGUCUCAACCAUAAACUAUGUCGACUUGGGAUCGGCGGUAGUUUUUUCAUUAAGACACUGUCGGGACCACGGGAGAAAUCAAAGUGUCUGGACUCUGGGGGAAGUAUGGUCGCAAGGCUGAAACUUGAAGGAAUUGACGGAAGGGCACCACCAGGAGUGGAGCCUGCGGCUUAAUUUGACCCAACACGGGGAAACUUACCAGGUCCAGAGAUGUAGAGGAUUGACAGAUUGAAGCUCUUUCUUGAUCACUUCGGUGGUGGUGCAUGGCCGUUCUUAGUUGGUGGAGUGAUUUGUCUGGUUAAUUCCGUUAACGAACGAGACCUCAGCCUGCUAGUGUAGUCGGCUGGAUUGCCUUUGGCGAUCCGUGAUUUCGACUUCUUAGAGGGACAAUCGACGCGCAGUCGAUGGAAGUUUGAGGCAAUAACAGGUCUGUGAUGCCCUUAGAUGUUCUGGGCCGCACGCGCGCUACACUGCUGGGCUCAGCGAGUUUUACUUGGCCGAGAGGCCCGGUUAAUCUUGUGAAAUCCCAGCGUUCUUGGGCUCGCCUCCUGCAACUGGAGGCGCCAACGAGGAAUUCCUAGUAGACGCAGGUCAUCAACCUGCAUCGAUUACGUCCCUGCCCUUUGUACACACCGCCCGUCGUUCCAUAAGAGUGAGGCAUCCGGUGAAUUCUCGGGAGAGCCUGGGCGUGGCCAGCAAUGGUCUGCUCGGGUUUGAACUUGCAUAAACUUGGUGCCUAUGAUUAGGG